Molecule: unclassified non-coding RNA, 352 nt
Filed under: soil metagenome
Description: partial contains 5.8S ribosomal RNA, internal transcribed spacer 2, and large subunit ribosomal RNA
Rfam family: 5.8S ribosomal RNA (bases 1-120)
Source: RNAcentral
GAUGAAGAACGUAGCGUAAUGCGAUAAGUAAUGUGAAUUGCAGAAUUCAGUGAAUCAUCGAAUCUUUGAACGCACAUUGCGCCCGCCAGUAUUCUGGCGGGCAUGCCUGUUCGAGCGUCAUUACAACCCUCAGGCCCCCGGGCCUGGCGUUGGGGAUCGGCGGAGCCCCCCGUGGGCACACGCCGUCCCCCAAAUGCAGUGGCGGUCCCGCCGCAGCUUCCAUCGCGUAGUAGCUAACACCUCGCGACUGGAGAGCGGCGCGGCCACGCCGUAAAACACCCAACUCUUCUGAAGUUGACCUCGAAUCGGGUAGGAAUACCCGCUGAACUUAAGCAUAUCAAUAAGCGGAGGA